This 380-nucleotide long non-coding RNA is filed under the name Brassica napus (rape). RNAcentral describes it as "long non-coding RNA (BNAP_LNC016943)". The record is from RNAcentral. Lineage: Eukaryota; Viridiplantae; Streptophyta; Magnoliopsida; Brassicales; Brassicaceae.
UUUUAAAUUCACUCCAUUCUUUAGCACCAAUCAAAUUUUCAAAUAGAUUAUUAAUUAAAAAAAUAUUAAAUUAAAUAAAAAAUAGCUACAAAAAAUAAAAAAUUUAAUUUUAACGACGUUAACGCUUCCACGUAAACCCUAAACCCUAAAUCUUAAAUUCAAAACCCCAUACCCUAAAUUCUAAACCCAAAUCCAAACCCCUAAACCCAAACCCUAUACCCUAAACCCUAAACCCUAAUCAUAGAUCCUAAACCCAAAUUAUAUACCAUAAACCCAAAAACUAGACUAUAAACCUAAACUCUAUACCCUAAACUCAAGUCCUAGACCCUAAACCCAAACCGUAAACCUUAAACCCAAAUUAUAUACCCUAAACCCAAAAC